Molecule: transfer RNA, 89 nt
Filed under: Candidatus Bathyarchaeota archaeon
Lineage: Archaea; Thermoproteati; Candidatus Bathyarchaeota
Description: tRNA-Ser
Rfam family: tRNA
About the family: Transfer RNA (tRNA) molecules are approximately 80 nucleotides in length. Their secondary structure includes four short double-helical elements and three loops (D, anti-codon, and T loops).
Source: RNAcentral
GCCGGGGUCUCCUAGCCAGGUAGGGAGCAGGCCUGGAGAGCCUGUGGCCUCUCGGGGCCGCGUGGGUUCAAAUCCCACCCCCGGCGCCA